Oxyura jamaicensis (ruddy duck) is the source of this 1395-nucleotide long non-coding RNA. RefSeq lists it as uncharacterized. The record is from RefSeq and is a predicted model, not a curated record. The transcript has 3 exons. Lineage: Eukaryota; Metazoa; Chordata; Aves; Anseriformes; Anatidae.
CAGAUUCUGCUGCAGUUUCUUUUGCAUCUUUUCCAUAAUUAUGUCUCUACCCACUCAUUUUAGAAGCAGUGUAGUUUUUUCCUGGAGCCUCUGGAAAGGCUGCCACACUUCCUGAGCAGCAGAUCUUUGCACUCCCAGCUCCUUUCGGACACAGAGCCUUGGGGACAGCUUCUGCCGGGCAGACCCCACAAAGAACAGAAACGUAAUAAAAGACAAAGCUGCAGUCGCAUUUCAUCCUUCCUUCCAGGGCGUACUGUAACCAGCCUUCAGUUGGGAAGCAGGAGGGAAAAGGAGUCCAAAGGCACCAGAAACAGCAACAGCAAUUCCAGGUGCAGGCACCACAUUUAUGGACAUUAGCUAAUUAGGCCUUCCAGCAUCCCUGCAAGCCAGGUGUGUGAACAUCUCCCCCAGCUUUUCAUGCAUUUAUGCACAUCCUUCCAUCUGCAACAUGCAGCCUGGACACUCCAGACAUCAGCGCCUACUCAAAGGAGCAGCCCUGCUGGAUAGGCGCUGUUCAGACAAGGCUGCUGCCCACAUUGUGCUCUUUCCCCAUGUAUUGCUUGCUGCCUGCCCAACAGGGCUGGUCCCGUGCACCCGGAGGAUACCCACGUCCUGCCCCACUGCACCCCAAGGCCCCAGCAGCUGCAGUUCCUCUCGAGGGGCUGAGCAGGGCAGGGGCUGACGGCUUCAGCAAGGACUCACAGCCAGCAGAGACGUCCUCCAACACUUCUGGGUUUUCACUGGUCACUUGCAGUAGUCCAAAGCACAUAGAAUAUUUAUUUGCUCCUAAUUAGGAGUAAUCACCACUUAACCUAGAGGAGGGAUGUACCCAGUGUGCCCAGCCACUCAAUACACUUACUGCUGAACAGCCUCUGCUGCAGCUAAUUAAAAGAGGAGGGCUCCUGCAAACUUGCAAAGAAAUUGCCAGUUUGUUUUAGUGAGGGGGACCUCGUGUAACUGAGCAACAGAGCUGCUGAUACCUGGCCUCGGUAAUUCAGGGCGAUUUCUUCCUCUCCUCUCCCAUCCAGUGCACUGUCCCCUCGCUCCGUUGUCCCCUGCAUGUCCCCUUGGUAUCUCAGGGUGGGCACUUUGACACAGGGCUGCCCUUUCCCCUGUCCUCCCCUAAGAGCUGGACAGGCUGAAAGAAGGUUGUUAAUAAGACACCCAAUCAACAUUUCUGUAAUGAGAAUUAUUUAACAAAGAAGAGUCUUAAAUGCUUAUUACUAUUCCUCUUUACUGCUUGGAAAUCCUUCAGGGCAAGGAAACUUUCAGCAGAUCGGCUUUGGCUUUGCUCUCCCUGCUGAGCUGCUCACCACGUGCGGAAGGCUGUAUCCAGGAUCAGAUUUAUCCCAACACUCUUCUGGGAAAGGGACAUAACCCAUCACUCCCGUUUCA